UGAUCAGUUUGACGUCCAUGAGUCACUUGUGCCGGUUUAACCUCCUGUCACUAUUUUCUGUGCAUAUUUUGGAGGGUCUUAUAAUAGAAGCCCAAAAUAACAAGCAGAGGUUUAUUAUCAUUGUCUAUCCAGUGAGAUUUCCUGAGGUUGUUCUUUUGAGGAGGGUGACAGUCUGACAGCUCAAUUUGGUGGCGACGCCCCUGAGACCCCCCAUUAAACUGUGCUGGAGGUAACAUCAUAACUCUCCCAUGCUCCCUGAACAGGCCGCAAAGAGCAGAGAGGACAAACCAGAGCCGAUGAAUCAGUCUGGUACCUUCCCCAAACGCUCACAGGAUGACCUCUAUGGGCACAAAAUAUAGAAGGAAGUCCAUCUGCUGUCCUUAUGUAACUUAUUCAUUAUUAGUACCUGUUAAAGCAAAUAUCACUAUAAUAGUUAUUAUUAUCACUUUCUAACACAGUCCACGCACUCGAGUCUGUCGUCAAGACAAAUGGAGUGAAAGAACGUUUGCUUUGACGCAUUUGAUUUAAACAGCUCGUUGGCAUCUUUAUACAGAUGUUGUAUAGAAGGAUCCCAGUGUAAGGAACAAAUGGAUAGUUUAUUUUUAUCCCUGACCGUUUGUUAAAAGAUGAAGCGGUAGUAAGUAAAUGCUUUCAUAAUGCUUUGUCUGGACAUUACCAUUUUUAAUUUUUUUGAUCAUGUUGUCAAAACACUCACAUGCAAUUGGCGAGGGGGUUCGUUGUGCAAUGGCGUUAGAAAAUCAUAACAAGUGGCUGAUUCUUGACAAGCCUUAAAGUACAUGACCCUUAAAACAAGUCAUUUUAGACAGAGGGUCAGAACGAGGGUUGAAAAUAAUAAUUUUUCCACAUAUUUAUUUAUUUAUCCAAAAAUCCAUGUCAUGACCCCUUUACAUUAAUGUGGAUGUAGUUUUUGAUAUCUGAUCACAAAUGGCUACUCCUGGUAAAACUAAAACAUUCAUUAUUCAGUUCAACCAUAAAUCAGGUUUAUUGCUGCUAAAAAUGAGCAUCAUGUAAGGGAAAUUGUUUGUAUGUAAAUUGCUGUAGCGCAUAAUAUAUUUUUGGCCUAUCAUGAACAAGAUGAACUAUUAUCAAUGCAUGAAUCAAACUCAUUCAGGAUGCUUAAGGUUUCUGACAUUUUUCCAUACAUCAUUUUUUUUUUAUGAUAACGCUAGAUGUGGAGCUGAAAUGAUGUAUGGAACAGUGAAAUCACUCACUGUAAUAUUAACGUCUCAUCUGUGAAAUUUUGUCUGCUGACAGGAGACAGACCAUGUGACUUCCUCUGACUUCACAGAGUGCAAUGCUCUGUAAGUAAAAACAAUGUUCAGAAAUUGAUUUUUAAUGAAAACUUAAAAAUGACCUACUGUGAGUUCUACGGUUGUUAAUCAAUGGUAAUUUCUUUUGUUGAAAAUUAUUUUUGAAAUAAUUUUUUAACAGAUGAAUUUGAGGAAAAAAUACUUCAUUUUCUUAGGCAUAAUAAUGUUUCUUGUUUCUUUCUUUUCAUUUUGUGGUGAAAUAUGACCCUGGCAGCGUUUCCCAUUGGCGCCAAUGGUAAUCACCCAGAACACCCUGGUGAGAUUUGCACAGGGUGCAAGCACUAUUCACAUUGUCUUUAGAAAAUGUAAUAAUACAGAAUAUGUAUUACAAAGUGAUUGGAAUUCGCUAUGGGAGAUAUUUAGUUUUUUGAAACUUCAUUAUAUUUUUUAGAGAAUACUGAUCCUGUUUUCUACAUACUAAUGGGCUUCUAAACUUUGCUACUGCUGGCUGAUGAUUAAGUAAACUUACAGUUGGUUUUAGUUCUCUUUUGUCAUCAAUCAGGCUAGCAUGCGUUAUUAAACCUCUCAUGCCCACUUACCCAGACAUUUAAACUCUGUGCGCUGGGGUCUGCAGCCGAGUACACCUGAUGGAUUAGGACAGAAGCAUAGAGUGAUGGAGAGGAUGAGGGAGCCAGGGUUAUAUUUGGCCUGUCUAAACGAGAGGAGAUGUGGAUUGCCUUCUGCGCAGAUUUGUCGUUCCGAUGUGGGGUGGUGGCAUCUCUCCAGGUUUCCGUUAUGUGCCACUGACUGCGGUAAUGAGAGUCGUUUAUAUUGUCAUUUGUUUACAAGGCUUGCAGUGACCAUGUCUGCCACUGCCAGACAGGGAGCAGAAGGAGACGCUAAUAUGAGGAUGUGGAUAUGUUGAGUCUGUGGUGGUGUCAUUAAAAAUGGAUCAACAGAAUAACAAUAAACAAGGACAGUAAGUUCAACAGAUUAAUGAUUUGUCAAUUAGCAGAUGCUUUUAUCCAAUGUGACUCACAGUGCAUUUAACUAUUACAGGAAGAAACCUCUGAACGACCUGAGUACAAGUGUCUGAUUCAAUGACUAUCUAUCUAUCUAUCUAUCUAUCUAUCUAUCUAUCUAUCUAUCUAUCUAUCUAUCUAUCUAUGUUUAAAUAUUUGUUAAAUAUUAUUAGAUAUUAAAUAUUACUAAAUGUUAGUUUAAUAUUAGUUAUAUGAAUUCCUUCGAAUUUUAUUUAAUUGUACUUCCUUAUAUUCAGCUUCAAUUUACAGUUACAAUUCUGCUUUCUGUUUGCUUCCUCAAUUCAUUUUAAUUCAAUUCAUGAAAUAAAUUCAAACUGAGAAAGGGCAAUCACUGAACAAAUUCAGAAUUGUGUGCUUUAGUGUUACUGAGGACAGUUAUUAGGACAGUUGUACACUCACAAAUCUAAGCAUAAUGUUUUCUCUCAACAAACCUUUUGUACUCUGUGAGCUUGUUAUAAACGUAAUGCUUGUCCUAAAGUACUUUCUUUCUCUGAAUAUGAACAGUUUCAUCAUAUUCUUCAUAUGCUUUCAAUGCAGCAUCUCAAAAUGUGUCAAUCAAUCAUCAGAAAUAUGUGUAACUCUGUAAGGAAAUGUACACUAUUUAUUCAUAGAGUCGAGGGCCAGCUCGCUGCGGAAGUUAUCAGAGCGAUUGUCCUCCUGUCCAAGUCUCCAGCAGUGCCUUCAGGCAUCAGACCGUGUCGUCCCCGUGUCCUCACAAAUACCCUUCUACAGCACCAGAUGUUUCUACACACGUCGCUGAUAGAUAUACAGACCGGUAGAUUGCAACUUUGCACAAAUACAUUUUCACUAAUGACCAUCCAGCCAUUCAUUUCCACGACCCUGUUAUUCAGACUGCGUACAGUAGCAGCACAGUAUUUAUCCUGCUUCAUAAAGACCCAAAACACUUUUAUCCCAC
This is a long non-coding RNA of Cyprinus carpio carpio, 3230 nucleotides long. Lineage: Eukaryota; Metazoa; Chordata; Actinopteri; Cypriniformes; Cyprinidae. The record is from Ensembl.